GGGAUUGCCCCAGUAACGGCGAGUGAAGCGGCAACAGCUCGAAUUUGAAAUCUGGCCCCCCGCGGGCCCGAGUUGUAAUUUGCAGAGGAUGCUUUGGCGCGGCGCCUUCCGAGUGCCUGGAACGGGACGCCAUAGAGGGUGAGAGCCCCGUCUGGUCGGACGCCCAGCCUCUGUAAAGCUCCUUCGACGAGUCGAGUAGUUUGGGAAUGCUGCUCUAAACGGGAGGUAUAUGUCUUCUAAAGCUAAAUACCGGCCAGAGACCGAUAGCGCACAAGUAGAGUGAUCGAAAGAUGAAAAGCACUUUGAAAAGAGGGUUAAACAGCACGUGAAAUUGUUGAAAGGGAAGCGCUUGUGACCAGACUCGGGCGCGGCGAAUCACCCGGCGUUCUCGCCGGUGCACUUCGACGCGCCCGGGCCAGCAUCAGCUCGCCGCGGGGGACAAAGGCGCCGGGAACGUGGCUCCCCAGGGAGUGUUAUAGCCCGGCGCGCAACGCCCCGCGGCGGUCUGAGGUUCGCGCGUCCGCAAGGAUGCUGGCGUAAUGGUCACCAGUGACCCGUCUUGAAACACGGACCAAGGAGUCGUCCUCGUAUGCGAGUGUUCGGGUGUCAAACCCCUACGCGCAAUGAAAGUGAACGCGGGUGAGAGCCUCGCGGCGCAUCAUCGACCGAUCCUGAUGUUCUCGGAUGGAUUUGAGUAGGAGCAUACGGGGCCGGACCCGAAAGAAGGUGAACUAUGCCUGUGUAGGGUGAAGCCAGAGGAAACUCUGGUGGAGGCUCGCAGCGGUUCUGACGUGCAAAUCGAUCGUCAAACAUGGGCAUGGGG
Molecule: ribosomal RNA, 823 nt
Filed under: Ophiocordyceps sinensis
Lineage: Eukaryota; Fungi; Ascomycota; Sordariomycetes; Hypocreales; Ophiocordycipitaceae
Description: LSU rRNA
Rfam family: Eukaryotic large subunit ribosomal RNA
Source: RNAcentral